UACGGAGGGUGCAAGCGUUAUCCGGAUUCACUGGGUUUAAAGGGUGCGUAGGUGGGCAGGUAAGUCAGUGGUGAAAUCUCCGGGCUUAACCCGGAAACUGCCGUUGAUACUAUCUGUCUUGAAUGUAGUGGAGGUGAGCGGAAUAUGUCAUGUAGCGGUGAAAUGCUUAGAUAUGACAUAGAACACCCAUUGCGAAGGCAGCUCGCUACACUACGAUUGACACUGAGGCACGAAAGCGUGGGGAUCAAACAGG
This 253-nucleotide ribosomal RNA is filed under the name uncultured bacterium. Its description in RNAcentral is "partial 16S ribosomal RNA". It matches the Rfam family "Bacterial small subunit ribosomal RNA", at positions 524 to 776 of the family's 1533-position model. The record is from RNAcentral.